GACGAACGCUGGCGGCGUGCCUAAUACAUGCAAGUAGAACGCACAGUUUAUACCGUAGCUUGCUACACCAUAGACUGUGAGUUGCGAACGGGUGAGUAACGCGUAGGUAACCUGCCUGGUAGCGGGGGAUAACUAUUGGAAACGAUAGCUAAUACCGCAUAAUAUUGAUUAUUGCAUGAUAAUUGAUUGAAAGAUGCUAUUGCAUCACUACCAGAUGGACCUGCGUUGUAUUAGCUAGUAGGUGAGGUAACGGCUCACCUAGGCGACGAUACAUAGCCGACCUGAGAGGGUGAUCGGCCACACUGGGACUGAGACACGGCCCAGACUCCUACGGGAGGCAGCAGUAGGGAAUCUUCGGCAAUGGACGAAAGUCUGAACGAGCAACGCCGCGGGAGUGAAGAAGGUUUUCGGAUCGUAAAGCUCUGUUGUAAGAGAAGAACGGGUGUGAGAGUGGAAAGUUCACACUGUGACGGUAGCUUACCAGAAAGGGACGGCUAACUACGUG
RNAcentral lists this ribosomal RNA (505 nucleotides) under uncultured bacterium. RNAcentral describes it as "partial 16S ribosomal RNA". It matches the Rfam family "Bacterial small subunit ribosomal RNA", at positions 28 to 507 of the family's 1533-position model. The record is from RNAcentral.